AGUAAACACAGAAUACACUUUAUCUUCUUCUCUCCUUCUCGCUCUCUCUCUCUCUCUCUCCUUCGCUCUCUCUCACCUCCAUGUUCGAUCUUACUGGCUCUCAAAAUCUUCUUGUUGGCUGAAUUCAUUGCCGAUCAAAUCUCUUUCUGAUCAAAUCUCUCUUCUUUCUCAGUUACAACACAGAUUUUUGUCUUCUAUCUUUUGUGCUUUCCCAUCAACAGAGGCUUUCGCAAGGAUUACGAACAAGGACUGAAGUUGCUUCUAAGAUCAUCUUCACUUGGCCUAUUUCAGCUGCUUCUAAAGGUUGCUCUGGGACAGAAUUCUCACACAUUGUUCCUCAAUCCAUUUUUGGGUACAGGGAUUGCAGGAAAAGAUAGAAUUGGUUCCCCUCUAUCUGCAAGAUAGACCUUCCAUCUAGUUCUGCCUAACUUUCCAUCUGGUCAACAAAUCUAGACUUAGGAACCUAAACUUUCACUAUUUCUCAGUUCUCAAACGGGACACUAUUAUGUACUUGAGUCAAUUGGUAUGCCAGAAUGCAAGCUUGGCCUUAACGAUCGAGUGUUGCUAGAGGCACAAGGCAGAGCAACAAAGGGAAAAGCUAUUGAUUUGGAAGACAUCAAAUUUCAUCAGUACGCUGCUUUAACUUGUUGGUCUAAUUUAAUUCUAGUGUUGUCGAUACAAGUGUUUUGGAUUCUAAAAUCGCUAUUCUAAGGAGACAAGUAUCUUCACUUCUCUCCUUACAUCCUCUAUGGCAAUUACUGUUGUCAUCUGCAAAAUCAUCUAUCAUGAGAACAGAACAAAGCACUUCAAUGGAUUUA
Long non-coding RNA from Humulus lupulus (European hop), 818 nucleotides. RefSeq lists it as uncharacterized. Lineage: Eukaryota; Viridiplantae; Streptophyta; Magnoliopsida; Rosales; Cannabaceae. The transcript is spliced from 3 exons. The record is from RefSeq and is a predicted model, not a curated record.